RNAcentral lists this ribosomal RNA (430 nucleotides) under uncultured archaeon. RNAcentral describes it as "bacterial SSU rRNA". It matches the Rfam family "Archaeal small subunit ribosomal RNA", at positions 474 to 903 of the family's 1478-position model. The record is from RNAcentral.
UACCAGCUCUCCGAGUGGUAGGGAUGAUUAUUGGGCUUAAAGCGUCCGUAGCCGGCUUGGCGAGUCUCCUGUUAAAUUCAGCGACCUAAUCGUUGACCCGCGGGAGAUACUACUAGGCUAGGAGGCGGGAGAGGCCGACGGUACUUCCGGGGUAGGGGUGAAAUCCUAUAAUCCCGGGAGGACCACCAGUGGCGAAGGCUGUCGGCUAGAACGCGCUCGACGGUGAGGGACGAAAGCUGGGGUAGCGAACCGGACUAGAUACCCGGGUAGUCCCAGCUGUAAACUAUGCGGGCUAGGUGUUGGGGUGGCUACGAGCCACUUCAGUGCCGCAGGUAAGCCAUUAAGCCCGCCGCCUGGGGAGUACGGCCGCAAGGCUGAAACUUAAAGGAAUUAGGCGGGGGAGCACCACAAGGCGUGAAGCUUGCGGUUC